UGGUGCAUGGCCGUUCUUAGUUGGUGGAGUGAUUUGUCUGGUUUAUUCCGAUAACGAGCGAGACUCUAGCCUAUUAAAUAGUCAACGGAUAAACGCGUCCGUGUCGACUUCUUAGAGGGACAAGCGGUGUUCAGCCGCAUGAAGUUGAGCAAUAACAGGUCUGUGAUGCCCUUAGAUG
This 178-nucleotide ribosomal RNA is filed under the name uncultured eukaryote. RNAcentral describes it as "partial 18S ribosomal RNA". It matches the Rfam family "Eukaryotic small subunit ribosomal RNA", at positions 1278 to 1479 of the family's 1831-position model. The record is from RNAcentral.